UACGGUUCCUCCGGGCCAGCUCUGCCAGCAGCACCACAAUCUGAUUGGCGGUCAUGCUAUCCAGGCCAGUGGUCGGCUCAUCCAAUAGGAUCACCCCUGCAACGACAUUACCCCAAUGACGUCAUGGCCCUCGUGCAGGCAUGUCCCAGCUGCAGAGGGGUACUCACGUGGGUCCUGAAGUAGCUGGCUGGCGAUGGAGACCCUCCUCCUCUCGCCUCCAGAGAUCCCUGGGAAAACACGACCUCCAAUAACACUGUGGGCAACGUGGCUCAGACUCAGCUCAGCCAUCACUGCUGACACCUGCACAGGAGCUAGAGAGCUGAAUGCAAACCUGAAUUGCCCAGUAUACCCAUGAUCUGCCCACUGUCUACGUGGAAGGAGACAUCAUUGAGGAUCUGACGAGUCCAGC
This is a long non-coding RNA of Lates calcarifer (barramundi perch), 409 nucleotides long. RefSeq lists it as uncharacterized. Lineage: Eukaryota; Metazoa; Chordata; Actinopteri; Centropomidae. The record is from RefSeq and is a predicted model, not a curated record. The transcript has 3 exons.